CGCGUAGGCGGUUUGUUAAGUCAGAUGUGAAAGCCCUGGGCUCAACCUGGGAAUUGCAUUUGAUACUGGCAGGCUAGAGUAUGGUAGAGGGUGGUGGAAUUCCAGGUGUAGCGGUGAAAUGCGUAGAGAUCUGGAGGAACAUCAGUGGCGAAGGCGGCCACCUGGACCAAUACUGACGCUGAGGUGCGAAAGCGUGGGUAGCAAACA
RNAcentral lists this ribosomal RNA (207 nucleotides) under uncultured bacterium. Its description in RNAcentral is "partial 16S ribosomal RNA". It matches the Rfam family "Bacterial small subunit ribosomal RNA", at positions 568 to 774 of the family's 1533-position model. The record is from RNAcentral.